This 254-nucleotide ribosomal RNA is filed under the name uncultured bacterium. RNAcentral's name for it is "partial 16S ribosomal RNA". It matches the Rfam family "Bacterial small subunit ribosomal RNA", at positions 524 to 777 of the family's 1533-position model. The record is from RNAcentral.
UACGGGGGGGGGCAAGCGUUGUUCGGAAUUACUGGGCGUAAAGGGCUCGUAGGCGGCCAACUAAGUCAGAGUGAAAUCCCUCGGCUUAACCGGGGAACUGCGUCUGAUACUGGAUGGCUAGAGAUUGGGAGAGGGAUGCGGAAUUCCAGGUGUAGCGGUGAAAUGCGUAGAUAUUGGGAGGAACACCAGUGGCGAAGGCGGCUCACUGGACCGGAACUGACGCUGAGGAGCGAAAGCCAGGGGAGCAAAGCGGG